Myodes glareolus (Bank vole) is the source of this 127-nucleotide small nucleolar RNA. RefSeq annotates it as small nucleolar RNA SNORA40. Lineage: Eukaryota; Metazoa; Chordata; Mammalia; Rodentia; Cricetidae. The record is from RefSeq and is a predicted model, not a curated record.
AGCGCUUGUAAUAUGUUUUGUCAGCUGGUGUACAAAGGCAGGUUAGACAGGUGCAAAAAUAAAUCCUCUUUUGCAACCCAGAACUCAUUGCUCAAUAUGCGUUUUGAUACAUACAAGAAGGAAUAUA